UGUAACCAGAGAACAGAGCACACAGCACUUUGGAAAUGAAUUGAAACUGCAUAGAAUAGGAGAAGAAAAUCAGAUCUGAGUCCUGCUGAAGUCUUGGGCUCCUUCAACAAUUGGGGAGGCAACGCAAAACCCCAAGACAAUGGUUUUCAGUACAUGAGCUGAAGCUUCUGGCUGCUGCAGAAGAGUUUUCCUCUAUGUCUCUCAUGAAACUUCCAUAAAGCAUUUGCAAUGCCUUGACGUUCUGCCAUCCGAGAGGGAAUUAAUCGCCGGGAUGGCAUGAAGAGCACAGCACAGAAAGCAGGCAUGGUCCAGACCUCAAGGGACUAAUUAUGCUCUUAAAGGGGAACUGCUGGGGGACUCCCCGCUCUUUGGGAGGGCUGCCAAGGCCCCGUCUGUUUGCAUCUCCUCAUCCUGCAGCCAGCGCCCUGACGGCGUGGUAGUGCCCGGUCCUGCUGAUGGUAACGAGACUUCUCCCACCAAACGCCUCAGCUGGCUUUGGGAAGCACCUCCACGCCGAAGGUGAGACACCAACAGCACUUCUGGGGAGGUGCAGCGCCUGUGGGUGAUGGGGACAGGCUCAGGGCUCAGCUGGCUGCAGGCAGCUUCCCUUUUCUCCCUGCUGGGCCUGCUGAAAAAGGUUUAAGGUUGGAAAAAGGAAA
RNAcentral lists this long non-coding RNA (659 nucleotides) under Cairina moschata (Muscovy duck). RNAcentral describes it as "domestica (muscovy Duck (domestic type)) lncRNA (ENSCMMG00000015459.1)". The record is from RNAcentral. Lineage: Eukaryota; Metazoa; Chordata; Aves; Anseriformes; Anatidae.